This 253-nucleotide ribosomal RNA is filed under the name uncultured bacterium. RNAcentral describes it as "partial 16S ribosomal RNA". It matches the Rfam family "Bacterial small subunit ribosomal RNA", at positions 524 to 776 of the family's 1533-position model. The record is from RNAcentral.
UACAGGGGGUGCAAACAUUGCUCGGAAUCAUUGGGCGUAAAGCGCACGUAGGCGGUUCGUUAUGUCGGAUGUGAAAGCCCUUGGCUUAACCGAGGAAGUGCAUCCGAAACUGGCGAGCUAGAGUACGAAAGAGGAUCGCGGAAUUCCCGGUGUAGAGGUGAAAUUCGUAGAUAUCGGGAGGAACACCGGUGGCGAAGGCGGCGAUCUGGGUCGAUACUGACGCUGAGGUGCGAAAGCGUGGGGAGCAAACAGG